This is a non-coding RNA of Coregonus clupeaformis (lake whitefish), 323 nucleotides long. NCBI's taxonomy places the organism in Eukaryota, Metazoa, Chordata, Actinopteri, Salmoniformes, Salmonidae. The record is from the annotation of a RefSeq genome assembly.
ACUCUACCCUCCCUCCUCCUGGCUUGACCAUCCUCCCCCCGUCCAGCAAUGAGUUGGAAUCCAGCAAAGUCACCCUGGUCGGUCUGGCCAGUCAGAUGGUCAUGGGCUACGCUGAUGUCAGCUGGACAGCGGGAGGGAAUCCGGUCACCAGCGGCAUCGCUACGAGUGGCCCCGUGCCGCAAGCCGACAAGACGUUCCAACUCAACAGCUGUCUGACCGUUGACACGUCAGAAUGGAACCAGGACAAAGUGUUCUCAUGUAAAGUCACCGCGGGCUCCAAGUUCGCUGAGAAAGGCAUCAAAAAGUCUGAAUGCAGCACUUAA